UGGCUCUCGCAUCGAUGAAGAACGCAGCGAAAUGCGAUACGUAAUGUGAAUUGCAGAAUUCAGUGAAUCAUCGAAUCUUUGAACGCACCUUGCGCCCCUUGGCAUUCCGAGGGGCACACCUGUUUGAGCGUCGUGAAUAUCUCAACCCAACGCACUUUUGCAUUAAAGUGUCGAUGGGCUUUGGACUUGGAGGCCUUGCCGUGCCCACCGCACCGGCUCCUCUGGAAUGUAUUAGCGAGGACCCUUUGCAUGGCCUUGACGUGAUAAUGAUUGUCGUCGUCGGCCUAGCUCUGCUCGGAACCGCUUCAAACCGUCUCCGGACAAAUGGCUCGCAUGAGUCAAAUCAAACUUGACCUCAAAUCAGGUGGGACUACCCGCUGA
RNAcentral lists this unclassified non-coding RNA (381 nucleotides) under uncultured fungus. RNAcentral describes it as "partial contains 5.8S ribosomal RNA and internal transcribed spacer 2". The stretch from base 1 to 133 matches the Rfam family "5.8S ribosomal RNA", at positions 22 to 154 of the family's 154-position model. Lineage: Eukaryota; Fungi. The record is from RNAcentral.